CACAUUCUUGCUGCUUCUUACACCUUACACUGUUCCUCUGCUCUAAUGGACCAUUUCUACAGGUGUGCAGUACUUGUGAAACAGAUUGCUCCAGCUGCCAGGAAACGUGUGCCUGUAUAUGCUCCUAAGCACAGGCUUCAGCUCCUGACAGCAGCCUGUUCCUGUGUGAGAUCUCCACGAGCUGUAGCUUCCAUCAGGGCAUCUCCACCUGCUCCAGAGUGGGGCUUUUCCACAGCCUGCGGGUGGGUCUCUGCUCCACUGUGGUUAUCCAGGGGCUGAACGGGACAGUUUUUCUCACCAUGGUCUUCAUCACUUGGAAGUGCCCCGGCUGUGGAGAAGGGCUGCUCCUGUCCAACCAGUUGGCACAGGUUGGCUGAGAAUCAGGAGUGGUGACAGACAGUCACCUCUGCUCUUGUCCCUGAGAGCGUCUGUCUCUGGGCAGCAGGGGUCAGGUAGUCUUCUUUUGUGGCGGGUAAUUUCCAGAAUUCCUGCUUCAUUUGCUACAGGAAUCACACAGGUGAUUAAAUACAGAGGAUCAUCACAAGCUACUGAUUGAGCUGUGUUCAGCACAGGCCUCUUGAUUGCUACAGAGCAGUGUUGGAAGAUAGUGUACAGUCAGAAAACAGCCUUGUGCAGGAAACAGCCAGCAGCACAAUGAAGAUUGCCAAAGAACAAAUUGCUGUCACAGAAUACUCCUACCAUGUCCCACAGGCCAAACAGGAAAACAAAAAACAAAUCUGUGAGUUUACCUCUAGUAUUGUUGGACCUCCUUGCUUCAGUCUCUGGCUAUUAUUGGUGCACUAUCUCACUACGCAAGGUAUUCUAUGACUCCAAACCCACACCUCACAGUACAGGAAAUGGGAACAGUGAUCUCAUUUCUUGGCCCAGCCCUGACAGACUGCCUUCAGAAGGAGAAGCUGGGAAACUGAUUUUUAAGAGUGACUCAGUAGCAUCAUCUGCAGCCCAGCCCUGA
This 973-nucleotide long non-coding RNA is filed under the name Chloebia gouldiae (Gouldian finch). Its description in RNAcentral is "Erythrura gouldiae (Gouldian finch) lncRNA (ENSEGOG00005016325.1)". Lineage: Eukaryota; Metazoa; Chordata; Aves; Passeriformes; Passeridae. The record is from RNAcentral.